GAUGAAGAACGCAGCGAAAUGCGAUAAGUAAUGUGAAUUGCAGAAUUCAGUGAAUCAUCGAAUCUUUGAACGCACCUUGCGCCCUUUGGCCAUUCCGAAGGGCAUGCCUGUUUGAGUAUCAUGAACACCUCAACUCUUUAUGGUUUUCCAUGAUGAGCUUGGACUUUGGGGGUUUUGCUGGCCUAUGGUCGGCUCCUCUAAAAUAAAUCAGCUUACCAGUGUUUGGUGGGUAUCAUGGGUGUGAUAACUAUCUACGCUUGUGGUUUUCCCACCAGGUAACCUUCGACCGCGGAGGUUCACUGGAGCUCAUAGAUGUCUCUCCUCAGCGAGGACAGCCCUUUGAAUGUUUGAUCUCAAAUCAGGUAGGACUACCCGCUGAACUUAAGCAUAUCAAUAAGCGGAGGA
Molecule: unclassified non-coding RNA, 405 nt
Filed under: soil metagenome
Description: partial contains 5.8S ribosomal RNA, internal transcribed spacer 2, and large subunit ribosomal RNA
Rfam family: 5.8S ribosomal RNA (bases 1-121)
Source: RNAcentral